GAUGUCUUCGUCUUCAGGUGGAUGUCUUAUCUCCAGUAGAGGACCUUUCUUAUGUAAUCAGUGUUUUCAUUCAGCAGCUGUUUCAGCUGAUUGCGUGGGGGAAGAAAAAGCCAUUUGGAGCUGUGCUGCUCGGAGCGGCCCGUGAAUGGAUUCUCUCCACCGCCAAGAGCGCUAACAGGCCCAGAGCCCAGCGAAGCCCUUUACAUUGAAAAACUUCACACUAGACGUCCAGUUUAUCUCGUCUGUUGACCAUGCCUGUUUCCACACUCACAGUUCAAUCAAGAUAUACAUUGUUUAUUAUUCCAGUGAUGGUGUCAAGUUGUCCAGGGCGAAUCCAUUUAUUGUAGAGAACUAACAAUGGCAAGUUUGCUGUUUUCAUGUGCCUUUGACAAUGUUAACAUAUUAAAAUACGUAAUAAAAUAAUAUUAA
Molecule: long non-coding RNA, 429 nt
Organism: Carassius gibelio (silver crucian carp)
Lineage: Eukaryota; Metazoa; Chordata; Actinopteri; Cypriniformes; Cyprinidae
Exons: 2
Source: RefSeq, a predicted model, not a curated record